AUUGAACGCUGGCGGCAGGCUUAACACAUGCAAGUCGAGCGAGCGGCGGACGGGUGAGUAAUGUCUGGGAAACUGCCUGAUGGAGGGGGAUAACUACUGGAAACGGUAGCUAAUACCGCAUACCAUCAGAUGUGCCCAGAUGGGUUUAUCUUGUAGGUGGGGUAAUGGCUCACCUAGGCGACGAUCCCUAGCUGGUCUGAGAGGAUGACCAGCCCAACUGGAACGUAGACCCGGUCCAGACUCCAAGGGGAGGCAGCAGGGGGAAAUAUUGCACAAUGGGCGCAAGCCUAAUGCAGCCAUGCGGGGUAUGUGAAGAGGGCCUUCGGGUUGUAAAGCACUUUCAGCGAGGAGGGGUAAGUAAAAAAAGAAGCACCGGCUAACUCCGUGCCAGCAGCCGCGGUAAUA
RNAcentral lists this ribosomal RNA (405 nucleotides) under uncultured bacterium. RNAcentral's name for it is "partial 16S ribosomal RNA". It matches the Rfam family "Bacterial small subunit ribosomal RNA", at positions 30 to 525 of the family's 1533-position model. The record is from RNAcentral.